RNAcentral lists this non-coding RNA (114 nucleotides) under Opitutus terrae. Its description in RNAcentral is "TPP sequence". It matches the Rfam family "TPP riboswitch aptamer (THI element)". Rfam says of the family: Vitamin B(1) in its active form thiamin pyrophosphate (TPP) is an essential coenzyme that is synthesised by coupling of pyrimidine and thiazole moieties in bacteria. The previously detected thiamin-regulatory element, thi box was extended, resulting in a new, highly conserved RNA secondary structure, the THI element, which is widely distributed in eubacteria and also occurs in some archaea. RNAcentral also lists the same sequence under 1 other name. Lineage: Bacteria; Pseudomonadati; Verrucomicrobiota; Opitutia; Opitutales; Opitutaceae. The record is from RNAcentral.
GUUCGCCUGUAGGGGUGUCCUCCGCGGAGGGCUGAGAUUGCGGCGCGCUCGGCUGCUCGACCCUUCGAACCUGAAACGGCUCAUACCGACGAAGGAAACAGCAGGCGCCGUGAG